Pezoporus flaviventris is the source of this 1515-nucleotide long non-coding RNA. RefSeq lists it as uncharacterized. The record is from RefSeq and is a predicted model, not a curated record. NCBI's taxonomy places the organism in Eukaryota, Metazoa, Chordata, Aves, Psittaciformes, Psittacidae. The transcript is spliced from 3 exons.
CUCAGCCUUUCCCACACUGGGUGUUGAAAUUGAGUUUGUGGUCCACAGGGAACCAUGGGCAGUACGGACCCCAACUUUAAAACGAGUUGAUUGAGUCUUGAAGCUGUUACUGUGAUUUCCAGGUAUUGCAAUUUCUGUCCAAGGGAUGGAAAAACAUCAUAAAUCGUUUGUUAUGUGGAGUAAAAGAAAGGAGUUUUACUGAUCAGGCUUCAGGACCAGCGUUCUGUGGACUUAUGAUUGAGGUCAAAUGGCCAGUGAAAUUCCUCCUCCAUGCACUGUGCUGCCAGAAGAGCCCAGCCGUGCUGGUCUGCAGGGCUUUUGAAAACCCAGCUCUUAAUGCCAGUUGAAAAUCUAGCCCUAGUUAUGGAAAUGGAGUAGGUCAAAGCUUAGGCCUAGAUAUAAUGAGCACAAGGGUAAGAAGGUAGGUUAUUUUCAACUACAGCAGACAGCCUUAUCUGCAUAGCCUCUGUACAAUUGAAAUCUGCAAAAAUCUCAACCAGGAGUCACAUUAGCAGAAUGAAUAUUAACCUGGGAGCCUCCACAAAAAAAAACUUUACCUUGACUUUCUGCUAUAUAUAUAUAUAUAUAAAUAUAUAUAUUUGCCUUGAUACAGCACUGUCACUGAGCAAUUUAAUUCUCUUCUGGGCACAAUUGUCAACCUGGUUUCCAGAAGGGACACAAGCCGCAGGAUUUAUUUUAUUCCAUUUAAGUAACUAUGACCAGUUGUCAUAAAUUGAGGAGCUGAAAUUGCCCGUUCCCUAAGGCUCUCUAACAAAUGAGAUCAGAAGUCCAAUGAAUACAUGUCUUGCAAAGCUUUUCAGUUCAAUUACGUAUACCCAUGUGCAACUGGUAACACCACACUCAGUUCAAAUAGUAUCUUUGCAGGUGUGAAAGACUGCAAAUUGAAGUCUACUUCACAUCAGUAUCCAACAUGUUACUGGAAAGAUUAAAAGGAAUAUUUUCAAGGGACAAAGGAUGAACAAUUAAUGAGCCCUGGAGUGACUCUGAAACAGGUAGCAAAGAAAAACAACUGUAAAAGGAGAAACCAUCAGAAGUGAGCAGUUUGGUGCCAAGUUUCAGAGGAGAUUAGUGGAGAGUUUCAGUAGAUCCAUUAGUGUUUGCAAAGUACUUGUGGAGUGGAUCAAUGAGCAUCAUAGAAACUCCCAGGAGGAAGUGAAUUAAAAGCUUUUGCUUUUGCUUUUUUUACAGUGGGAAGCAAAUAAAGCAGAGCUCACACACUGGCUGAUGAGACUAAGGCAAGGCAUUGUAUGGACAUCUGCUCAAAAGCCAGAAAGUGAAUGGGACCUCAGGAGAUUUUCCAGGCCAUCUUUCUGCAGGGAAGGGCCUGAUUCCCUUUCAUGGUUCCCUGCUGAAGUACAGAAGUACAUCCAGCUAUAAGAGAAGAAGAUCCAUCUUUCAGCAUCAGGAGAUUAAAGGACUAGAGUGAGAUAACAUUUUGCAAGCCUGAAACGAUUUGAAAAUCCCUUUCCUGCUAUUUCUGGAAAAAAGUCAAUG